RNAcentral lists this transfer RNA (73 nucleotides) under Canis lupus familiaris (dog). It matches the Rfam family "tRNA". From Rfam's summary of the family: Transfer RNA (tRNA) molecules are approximately 80 nucleotides in length. Their secondary structure includes four short double-helical elements and three loops (D, anti-codon, and T loops). RNAcentral also lists the same sequence under 1 other name. The record is from Rfam by way of RNAcentral. Lineage: Eukaryota; Metazoa; Chordata; Mammalia; Carnivora; Canidae.
ACCUGGCUGGCUCAGGUGCUAGAGCAUGUGACUCCUGAUCUCAGAGUCAUGGGUUUAAGACCCAUGGUGGGUA